AUGCAACCUCGGAAUAUCAGCAUAAAGGUGGCAAGGGAAGAAGAUAUGUCCUCACAAAUUGGAAACGAUGGCUUCUAUUUUGAUCUCGUCGACUUUGACAGGGUGAAGGCUUUCCAGAUCGCGGAUAACAUGACUAUGUCCCGAUUGAAGAUGGAAAUUGCAGUAGAAUUCAGCAUCCCAGUUCAAUGUCAGCGCCUCUGGUUGUUUUGUAAAAGGCAAAACGGGACAUGGCGUCCUGUUAAGCCAUUCUCUACCGAAGAAAACAAUCUAUCUAUGACUAGCCUCGGUAGACUAUUGUCAAGGACCUUCUUGUUCCUGAAUCCUGAUGGUGUGAAGCUGUUUUUGGAGGUGCUCAAUGAUUCUUCCCCAAAAAAUCUGAGCAACAAUGAUGGGUUAGUGUUUUUAAAGCUUUAUGACCCAGAACAAACACAGAUACGAUAUAUUGGAAUGGUUUUUGUAAAAGCUUCAUCAAGGCCUUCAGAUAUUCUUCCGAAACUAAGAAGUCUAGCUGGUUUUUGUGCAGAUGAGGAAAUGGAAUUAUAUGAGGAAAUCAAAUUUGAACCUUCUGCCAUGUGUGAUGCCAUAGAUGCCAAUAUUACAUUUUCAGAAAGCCAGAUUGGGCAAGGGGAUAUCAUUUGCUACCAGAAAAGCUCGAAGUCUUUGAGCCACCAUGCAUACCCUUCUGUUCAAAUAUUCUUCAAUCGUAUUCAUGAUUUGAAGGCAGUUGUUCCGGGGGAGCAAAUGAAGAUACUUGCUCUGGAAGAGGAGGUUGCUAGGUUAAAACGUCAGUCUGACCUUCAAACAGAGAAGGCAAAUAUAGAAUGCCAGCGGUUUAAAUGUGAGCGAGACAAUGCAGUGCGGCAGCUGAAUGAGCUGCAGGAUCAGAAUCCUCAGAUUUUCCUUGAGUUUCCCAUCACAAAUUUGCUGCAAGCAACGCAGAACUUCAGUGACCUGUGCAAGGUUGGAGACACCGAAUAUGGAUGUGUAUAUAAAGGCAUUAUACACGAUACUACAGUAGCUAUCAAGCUAUCCAGAUCUGAUACUUUAUUUCAACAAGAGGUUUCUAUUCUUCGUCAAGGCAGACAUCCAAACAUUGUCAACUGCAUUGGAAAAUGUUCUGAAGUUUCAGCUCUUGUGUAUGAGUGGUUGCCAAAAGGAAACCUCCAAGAUCACAUUGUUUGUGCUCAUGGCUCUCCACCUCUUUCAUGGCAGAUCCGCACACAGAUCAUCGGUGAGAUUUGUUCUGCGCUGCUUUUCCUGCAUUCACGUGAGCCUCAUGCUUUGGUCCAUGGCGAUCUACGGCCUUGUAACAUAUUGGUCGACGCCAACUUCAGAAGCAAGAUCUGCAACUUUGGUAUGUUAACCCUGUUUCUUCAGCCCGGCGACCACCAACCAGCUCUGACAGCCAGACUGCCAUACCUGGAGCCGGAGCUCCUCACGACGGGAGAGCUCACACCCCUUUCUGAUGUCUACUCUCUGGGUGUUAUCAUCCUGUGUCUCCUGACUGGACUGCCUCCCUUGAUUAUUGCAAAGAAAGUUUCAGAAGCAUUGGUGAAUAAUAGCUUGCACACGCUGAUUGAUAAAUCAGCAGGGAACUGGCCUUAUGUACAAAGCCAAGCAGUUAGCCGUCAUUGGUCUUAG
RNAcentral lists this ribosomal RNA (1641 nucleotides) under Triticum aestivum (bread wheat). RNAcentral's name for it is "partial small subunit ribosomal RNA". Lineage: Eukaryota; Viridiplantae; Streptophyta; Magnoliopsida; Poales; Poaceae. The record is from RNAcentral.